RNAcentral lists this ribosomal RNA (700 nucleotides) under uncultured Staphylococcus sp. Its description in RNAcentral is "bacterial SSU rRNA". It matches the Rfam family "Bacterial small subunit ribosomal RNA", at positions 66 to 749 of the family's 1533-position model. The record is from RNAcentral. Lineage: Bacteria; Bacillati; Bacillota; Bacilli; Caryophanales; Staphylococcaceae.
GCGAACGGACGAGAAGCUUGCUUUUCUGACGUUAGCGGCGGACGGGUGAGUAACACGUGGAUAACCUACCUAUAAGACUGGGAUAACUUCGGGAAACCGGAGCUAAUACCGGAUAAUAUUUUGAACCGCAUUGUUCAAAAGUGAAAGACGGUCUUGCUGUCACUUAUAGAUGGAUCCGCGCUGCAUUAGCUAGUUGGUAAGGUAACGGCUUACCAAGGCAACGAUGCAUAGCCGACCUGAGAGGGUGAUCGGCCACACUGGAACUGAGACACGGUCCAGACUCCUACGGGAGGCAGCAGUAGGGAAUCUUCCGCAAUGGGCGAAAGCCUGACGGAGCAACGCCGCGUGAGUGAUGAAGGUCUUCGGGUCGUAAAACUCUGUUAUUAGGGAAGAACAUAUGUGUAAGUAACUGUGCACAUCUUGACGGUACCUAAUCAGAAAGCCACGGCUAACUACGUGCCAGCAGCCGCGGUAAUACGUAGGUGGCAAGCGUUAUCCGGAAUUAUUGGGCGUAAAGCGCGCGUAGGCGGUUUUUUAAGUCUGAAGUUAAAGGCAUUGGCUCACCCAAUGUACGCUUUGGAAACUGGAGAACUUGAGUGCAGAAGGGGAGAGUGGAAUUCCAUGUGUAGCGGUGAAAUGCGUAGAUAUAUGGAGGAACACCGGUGGCGAAAGCGGCUCUCUGGUCUGUAACUGACGCUGA